Molecule: ribosomal RNA, 704 nt
Filed under: Bacillus licheniformis
Lineage: Bacteria; Bacillati; Bacillota; Bacilli; Caryophanales; Bacillaceae
Description: bacterial SSU rRNA
Rfam family: Bacterial small subunit ribosomal RNA
Source: RNAcentral
GGCUCAACCCGGGGAGGGUCAUUGGGAAACUGGGGGAAACUUGAGUGCAGAAGAGGAGAGUGGAAUUUCCACGUGUAGCCGGUGAAAUGCGUAGAGAUGUGGAGGAACACCAGUGGCGAAGGCGACUCUCUGGUCUGUAACUGACGCUGAGGCGCGAAAGCGUGGGGAGCGAACAGGAUUAGAUACCCUGGUAGUCCACGCCGUAAACGAUGAGUGCUAAGUGUUAGAGGGUUUCCGCCCUUUAGUGCUGCAGCAAACGCAUUAAGCACUCCGCCUGGGGAGUACGGUCGCAAGACUGAAACUCAAAGGAAUUGACGGGGGCCCGCACAAGCGGUGGAGCAUGUGGUUUAAUUCGAAGCAACGCGAAGAACCUUACCAGGUCUUGACAUCCUCUGACAACCCUAGAGAUAGGGCUUCCCCUUCGGGGGCAGAGUGACAGGUGGUGCAUGGUUGUCGUCAGCUCGUGUCGUGAGAUGUUGGGUUAAGUCCCGCAACGAGCGCAACCCUUGAUCUUAGUUGCCAGCAUUCAGUUGGGCACUCUAAGGUGACUGCCGGUGACAAACCGGAGGAAGGUGGGGAUGACGUCAAAUCAUCAUGCCCCUUAUGACCUGGGCUACACACGUGCUACAAUGGGCAGAACAAAGGGCAGCGAAGCCGCGAGGCUAAGCCAAUCCCACAAAUCUGUUCUCAGUUCGGAUCGCAGU